AGGUUUGCCUUUGGCCUUUAGCAUUCUUACUGAGGAAGUGCUCUGGCUCCCAUGGUCUCCUGGUCUACUCCUAUGUGUGUGAGUAGAGGUACGAUGGAGAUGCUCCAAGCAGCUGUCCUCCACCCCUGCUGGCUAGCUGGAUGUUUACACACCUUGAAAUGAAUGAGCAUCAGAUUCUGCUACAGCUGGUCCAGAACCGUGCAGCCAACAUAUUUACAUCACGAGGGCAGGAGGGAAAGAAGCAGACCGUUCUGAGCUGAACCUUCCCUAGCUGGACUUGGCCAACAGCAGAUUUGUUGAGUGGCUUUCACUGAUCAGCUUCAGAGCUCCUAUGUGCAGAGCCACAGUGCCCAAUAACAGCUCUGGCUGUGGGGAGGGCAGAGAGAAACACUUAUUCAAUAAA
Long non-coding RNA from Numida meleagris (helmeted guineafowl), 403 nucleotides. RefSeq lists it as uncharacterized. The transcript has 3 exons. The record is from RefSeq and is a predicted model, not a curated record. Lineage: Eukaryota; Metazoa; Chordata; Aves; Galliformes; Numididae.